GUCGUAAUACUGGCAGGCUUCAAGAUUGACAAGUCAGACACCGAUCUCCGUGCUAACAUUAGGGUUUCGAGCCGAUCUUUCGCGCUCAUUUGGAUCCCUGAACGGACCCUCCUCGGGGUUUUCUGUUCAGGGUACUUAGGUAACUCAACUAGGAAAUAGAGCCUUUUGGGUUUCAACUCUUGUUGUGGUUCCAAUGGCUUUGCUCUCACCCCAAAAUGCUUCACUGCUUCUGAUUCUAAUAACACCAUAGUAGGAUAAUUUCUUAGAACCUCGUUGGCGCGGAGUUUUCUGUUCAGGGUAUUUAGGUAGCUCAACAAGGAAAUAGAGCCUUUUAGGUUUCAACUCUUGUUGUGGUUCCAAUGGUUUUGCUCUGACCCCAGAAUGCUUCACUGCUUCAGAUUCUAAUAGUACCAUAGUUGGAUAAUUUUUUAGAACCUCGUUGGC
This 444-nucleotide long non-coding RNA is filed under the name Nicotiana benthamiana. Its description in RNAcentral is "long non-coding RNA (NBEN_LNC026741)". Lineage: Eukaryota; Viridiplantae; Streptophyta; Magnoliopsida; Solanales; Solanaceae. The record is from RNAcentral.